GAGACAGCAGUCGCCACGGUAAUACAGAGGAUGCAAGCGUUAUCCGGAAUGAUUGGGCGUAAAGCGUGCGUAGGUGGCCAAUUAAGUCAAAUGUGAAAUCCCCGAGCUUAACUUGGGAAUUGCAUUUGAUACUGGUUGGCUAGAGUAUGGAGAGGAUGGUAGAAUUCCAGGUGUAGCGGUGAAAUGCGUAGAGAUCUGGAGGAAUACCGAUGGCGAAGGCAGCCAUCUGGCCUAAUACUGACACUGAGGUACGAAAGCAUGGGGAGCAAACAGGAUUAGAUACCCCGGUAGUCCCUGUCUCUUAUACA
Molecule: ribosomal RNA, 308 nt
Filed under: uncultured bacterium
Lineage: Bacteria
Description: partial 16S ribosomal RNA
Rfam family: Bacterial small subunit ribosomal RNA
Source: RNAcentral